Molecule: long non-coding RNA, 986 nt
Organism: Olea europaea var. sylvestris
Lineage: Eukaryota; Viridiplantae; Streptophyta; Magnoliopsida; Lamiales; Oleaceae
Exons: 3
Source: RefSeq, a predicted model, not a curated record
CCAAGGAUAUGAUGAGAUGCAAAAGGAAUGAUGGAAAGAUAGAUUGUAUUGUCAGUUCACCAAUCGAGCUGCAGUCCUUUUUUUCCGAAGCCAAACUCUACAAAUUAGAAUUGUAGUGUACAAAUUUUGUCUCUACCGAACUAAUAGAAGAUAGUUUAAUUUUGCAUGUCCUCAUUCACCUUUGAGACGGCCCACAAUCCAAAGAUUCAAAUUCUGACAAAACUUUCAGCAGACUUUGCAGGCUAUGUUUUUGUCAUUGUUUGUUCAUUGGAGACAUUCAAUCCAACCAAAGCUUAUUAAAGAAAUUGAUCAAAUUCACGAUAUUUUAUGAGCCACUAGGUCAUCUAUUAAACACACAAACCUAGAAAGGCCAGCAUUUGCCAAGAUGGAAAUUGAGAGUCGACCUUCGGAGAUUUCUAGAAUCGCAGGAAAAUCAGCAUCGACUAGACACGGGAAUGGUCUUAAGCAUGAGCAAGGCCUUGUUAAUGGGCUUAACGGCAUAAUAUAUGGUGGUUUUACUUUAAUGCAACUUCAAAAACUCUAGCAACAAGCACUAAUAUGCAAGUACAUGGAAGUUGGAUUUCCCAUUCCUUUUCAUCUUAUUAUGCCAAUUUGGAAGAGUGUUACUUCUCUUAGCAGCUCUCAACUUUACCCCAAUUUGUUGGGUUAUGGUGCCUUGAACACAACUAGCUUAGAUGAUGAGCCAGGAAGGUGCAGGAGAACAGAUGGUAAAAGAUGUAGAAAAGGUGCUGUUACAGGACACAAAUAUUGCGAAAGGCACAUGCACAGAAACCGGGACUCGGACGGCCGCAGCGUUCAAGAAAGCAUGACGAAACACUGACGAACGGAAUUUCGACAUUAUAGAAGCCAAUCUCUCUGUUUCUUUGCCGACUGAUGGCAAUAUUUGUAGCAAAAAAUGAACCAUGUUUUUGAGUUGUUUAUAAUCUGUUUAAAUUAUAAAUAAACAAAAAUGAGUGAGAAUAAGU